UGAAGGGGCAUUUACAUGGCAAACAUUUCAUUUGGCUGCUCUCUUAUGGCAGGAGCACCACUUCAGAAUGAACUCUUUUUUAAAUGGGUUUGCACCAGCAAAAAGAGCAAAAGGAGUUCACAGAACUAUGAAUUAAGCCUCGUAUGUCCCUUGGCAGCUGUGUUUCCUUGACGCCUCUGAGUAUUAAACAGUCUGCUCCAAAGGGAGAAUUGCUCCAAUCCCUUGAUCAUUUUGGUUGAUCUUCUCUGAACUUCUGCUAGAUCUAUGAUAUCCUUUUAGAGUUUAUUAGAAAGCACUGCCAAUUUAAAAAUGGAAAGCAUAUGACUGAUUCAUUGCAGAAGGCCCAUUUUUCAACAUUAAGGACUGGAACCAGCAAUUCUGCACGUAUAAUCCUACUAAGCAUGUUGAACUGCAGAGGCUCUACACUAGCACUUCCGAAUUGUUGUCCCAUGGAUCACCAUGAAUGGAAUGCUGUUAAAAAACAAGGCA
This is a non-coding RNA of Podarcis muralis (Common wall lizard), 489 nucleotides long. Lineage: Eukaryota; Metazoa; Chordata; Lepidosauria; Squamata; Lacertidae. The record is from RefSeq and is a predicted model, not a curated record.